RNAcentral lists this transfer RNA (70 nucleotides) under Xenopus parafraseri (upland clawed frog). Its description in RNAcentral is "tRNA-Tyr". It matches the Rfam family "tRNA". From Rfam's summary of the family: Transfer RNA (tRNA) molecules are approximately 80 nucleotides in length. The record is from RNAcentral. Lineage: Eukaryota; Metazoa; Chordata; Amphibia; Anura; Pipidae.
GGUAAGGUGGCCGAGCAAUAGGCGGCGGGUUGUAGCCCCGUGCACAGAGGUUCAAUUCCCCUCCUUACCA